CAGAAUCCGGCCAUCGGCCACCGUGGCAGCCGCCGAUCACCGGCGACGGCGCCGCCGUGCACGGUGGUCGGAAAUCGCCGAAAACAUUUUAACCCCCCCUUUUUUUGUGUAGAAUAUAGAUCUAGGGAUAAAAAUAUCAAAAAAUCACUCUAUGUUGCAGAUUCAAGACAUGCAAGUACUUUACUGGUUAGACGGUUAGUUUUCUCUACUUACUUGAUCUAUUGCUUUGCUUGCUGCCUGUGCCCUGUGGCUGUGUUUUUUGCCUUGCCGAAAUAUGGAGAAUGAAGAAAUAUAUUUUGCCUUUUCGUUUGCUUGUGAAUCUGUGAAAUGUGAGUUUGUGAGUGAGUUUUGAUUUUUUUAAUCGACUUUCAGAUUCAGUCUUUUACUUUACUUUGUUUUGAUUGC
RNAcentral lists this long non-coding RNA (405 nucleotides) under Gossypium barbadense (sea-island cotton). RNAcentral describes it as "long non-coding RNA (GBAR_LNC006148)". The record is from RNAcentral. Lineage: Eukaryota; Viridiplantae; Streptophyta; Magnoliopsida; Malvales; Malvaceae.